Molecule: long non-coding RNA, 1854 nt
Filed under: Betta splendens (Siamese fighting fish)
Lineage: Eukaryota; Metazoa; Chordata; Actinopteri; Anabantiformes; Osphronemidae
Description: lncRNA (ENSBSLG00000025727.1)
Source: RNAcentral
AUGCUAUUUACAAUAGGACUUCUCCUCCUCCUCACCCCAUUCCCUUCAUUUCAAGCCACAACCAGUUUGAAAAGAGACUCUGCAGGAAGCGAUGUGAGGAAGGGUGACGCUGCCCUCACACAUUCAAAACCAAAACCCGCUGCUGUGCUCAACAAGCACGCUGUUCGUUCUGCUCCGAAGCCAAACGCCGUCAAUCUGACGGUUUUAUCUGCUCCAGCCAUCAACCAAAAACCGUCAGCAGUCAGCGCUACGCUGACGGCCAAAAGCAAACUCGGCCCGGCAGUAAUUCAAACCACUCCGUCGCCAGCAGUGAAAGCCACUACAUCCAGUAGCUCCGCCACCAUCAAAGACAAGCCCACAGGCCCUGUCAAUCGGACUGCUGAGACCAAACCCCUCUCCACCAGUGAUGUGAAGAACAAACCUGCCUCCAGUAGAGUUCAAACUCUUCUGUCAACACCAGCAAAGGCUGUUAAAGCAAUUAGUGCAGCGGAUAACAAGAAUAAGCUCACAGUGUCUGCCAGUGAGACCACUGUAACCAAGGCCCAGUCAAGCAGCUCUAGAACUAGGCCUCACCCUUUGGUUGAUCAGAAUGCUUCAGCAAAAUCACCCUCAGGCCCUGACGUGACAGAUAGCAAAGACAAGCCUGCACCCACGGGAGCAUCAGAUGCUCAGCCAACACCCACAAAGACUCUGUCAGUGAGUGGGGUCACAGCUACUAAAGAAAAACACCAGCUGCGGGCCAAUGAGACCAUUUCAGGGACAUCACAUUCAGUUAGUGAAGUGAAGCCCAGCAAAGACAGGUCGGCACCAACAGGUGUUUCAGAUGUUCAAUCAACACCCACAAAGUCUGCUUCAGCAAGAGUGGAUAAGGGCAUUAAAGAAAAAGUCCAACCUUCAGCCAGUGAGAAAGAGAUGCCAGAUGUUCAAUCACCUACAAAGUCAGUUACAGCCAAUGGUUCCAAAAUUACCAAAGAGAAAUCUACUGAGACUAGUUCAAGUAAAUUACCUUCAGGCAGUGAAGUGAUAUCUGUACCGACAGGAGUUCCAGAUGUUCCAUCAACAUCCAACAGGUCUACUUCCAAGACUGGUAAAGGUAAAGUCCAUCCUUCAAUCAAUGAGACAUCCACAGGAGCUGCAGGUGUUCAAUCAAAUCAAACACCCACAAAGUCAGUUACAGCCAACAAUUCCAAAAUUACCAAAGACAAAUCUUCUGAGACUAGUUCAAGUAAAUCACCUUCAGGCAGUGAAGUGAAAUCUGUACCGACAGGAGUUCCAGAUGUUCCAUCAACAUCCACCAGGUCUCCUUCCAUGACAGUUUCUCCCCCACCCUCAUCCGGUGAUGUUAAACCUAGCAAAAACAAGCCUAAAUCAACAGCAGCUACAAAUCCGCCUCAGUCUGGUUCAGGGAACUCACCCUCAGGCAGUGAAGCCACACCAAAACCAAAGAAGCCUGCACCAUCUAGAGCUCCAGAUGUUCAAUCAACAUCUGCAACGGCAGCUCCAGCCAGCGGCAAGAAUGUCACUGAUUUAUCAACACCUGUAAAACCCUCAGUCAAUGACACCAAACCACCAGCCACAACUAAAGAAAGCUCGGCUCCUUCCCAACCCAUUAAAGUCGUGAUCAGUAACGACUGCAACUCGGGCAACACCAAGCAGCAGGAGCUGGAGCUGCAGCCUGGUUCUCCUCUGGUCAUGACACAUAAGAUUAGCUUGUUACCCAGCGGCUGCACCGGGGAGUGUGAGUCUGAGAUGGCAGCGCUGACACGACGAGUGACUCGGCUCGAGAGAGAGAUGUCCCUCCUAAAAGACAAAUGUACGAUCGUGUUGUUAGCAAAGGUUCAUGCAUUUGACUAG